Malaclemys terrapin pileata is the source of this 808-nucleotide long non-coding RNA. RefSeq lists it as uncharacterized. The transcript has 2 exons. Lineage: Eukaryota; Metazoa; Chordata; Testudines; Emydidae. The record is from RefSeq and is a predicted model, not a curated record.
CUCAGGGUCACUACGUGUCUCUGGCUUGCAACAAACAUGGGAGCAGAGUCCUGGACGCCAUCUGGAGCCGGGCCACCCUGCCGGCCAAGAGACAAAUUGCCCAGGAACUGGCCGAGCAGGAGCAGCAGCUGCGCAAUGACCCCUUUGGGCACCAUUUGGUGCGGAACUUCGCCCUGACCCAUUUCGUGAACCGCCGGCGAGACUGGGACCGGCACCAAGAGGCGGAGACCAAACGCAGGGAGCUGUUCGCUGAGAUUCUGGAGGAUUGAAUACUGGGGGGCAGCGAUGGGAUUGCUAGCCCCUUCUGGCACCAGGAGAGACUCUUCUUCCAACCAUAGAGAUCCUGGAGGACUGAAUGCCAGAGCGGGUGCUGCUCACAUCUGCUUCUACCCAUAGAGAUUGUGGAAGACUGAAUAUCAUCAGAGUGGGUGCUAUGGAGUUUUUAUGGCCCUCUUGGCUCCUAACCAUAGAGACUAUAGAGGACUGAAUACCAGGAGUGCUGUGUGGUGGUCUUAUGCUCUCAUCCGCUUCUGACCAGAGAGCCUGGAGGACUGAAUACCAGAGCGGAUGCUGUGGAGUCUUUAUGUCCCUGUUGGCGCCUAAGCAUAGAGAUGUUGGAGGACUGACUACGGGUGGUGUCUGUGUUGGGGUCCUUACCCCUACCCACUAUCUGUUCUGAACCCUAGAGAUCCUGGCGGACUCACCCCCACUAGGGGCCGCUCUGGACUUCCUUUCUCCCUCUUGUCUGCUCCCAACUGCACAGAGGCGGUUACAAUCCUGAUUUUCUAUAAAGGUUUCUAUUUCCCUA